RNAcentral lists this ribosomal RNA (248 nucleotides) under Fidelibacterota bacterium. RNAcentral's name for it is "partial 16S ribosomal RNA". It matches the Rfam family "Bacterial small subunit ribosomal RNA", at positions 1 to 240 of the family's 1533-position model. Lineage: Bacteria; Pseudomonadati; Fidelibacterota. The record is from RNAcentral.
CAAUGGAGAGUUUGAUCCUGGCUCAGGACGAACGCUGGCGGCGUGCUUAACACAUGCAAGUCAAGGAGAACGUUUUCUUCGGAAAACUAUUAAACUGGCGAACGGGUGAGUAACGCGUAGACAACCUACCUCAGAGACUGGGAUAACUCCGCGAAAGCGGGGCUAAUACCGGAUGAUGCAGCGGAUCCUUCGGGAUACAGUUGUUAAAGUGGGCUUCGGCUCGCACUUUGAGAUGGGUCUGCGUCCGA